AGAUAGAUUGAUAUGUAUUGUUGUUAGGAUGUGUGUAAUAUAUACACGUAGCAAAAACAGGAGAUAAACAGUAAAUUGAGAGGAAGUGUAAUGAGAGAGGGUAGGAAAAUAAGGCAGGGAAGAGAGAGAGAGAAUGAUAGAUAGAUAGAGAGAGAGAGAGAGAAAGAAAGAAAGAAAAAGAGUCGUUUUCCACGUCGUGGCUCCGUGUGUCGGACGUGUGACAGUUGGAGCCACUAAAUAUUGACAUCAACUGCAGUUGUUAAAUAACUGCCGACCAGGGAUUAUUAUUUGAACAGUUACAGAUGAGUGUGAACCAAAAAAGAAUAUACACCAGAGUGAACAUUGAAGGAAGAAAUGUUGUGAACAAUUUAUAAUCUUCAGGAAGCAGUAAGUAUUCAUAACAUAAACACUUGCAAGUGCUACAGAUGAUUUCUUUUUAAAUAUUUCUUUUAAGUAGAUAAAACACAUUCAACACUAUCUUAUUCAAUGUUUUAUUAAUUUUCU
Long non-coding RNA from Octopus sinensis (East Asian common octopus), 504 nucleotides. RefSeq lists it as uncharacterized. Lineage: Eukaryota; Metazoa; Mollusca; Cephalopoda; Octopoda; Octopodidae. The transcript is spliced from 3 exons. The record is from RefSeq and is a predicted model, not a curated record.